RNAcentral lists this transfer RNA (90 nucleotides) under Roseovarius sp. Its description in RNAcentral is "tRNA-Ser". It matches the Rfam family "tRNA". Rfam says of the family: Transfer RNA (tRNA) molecules are approximately 80 nucleotides in length. Their secondary structure includes four short double-helical elements and three loops (D, anti-codon, and T loops). Further hydrogen bonds mediate the characteristic L-shaped molecular structure. tRNAs have two regions of fundamental functional importance: the anti-codon, which is responsible for specific mRNA codon recognition, and the 3' end, to which the tRNAs corresponding amino acid is attached (by aminoacyl-tRNA synthetases). tRNAs cope with the degeneracy of the genetic code in two manners: having more than one tRNA (with a specific anti-codon) for a particular amino acid; and 'wobble' base-pairing, i.e. permitting non-standard base-pairing at the 3rd anti-codon position. Lineage: Bacteria; Pseudomonadati; Pseudomonadota; Alphaproteobacteria; Rhodobacterales; Roseobacteraceae. The record is from RNAcentral.
GGAGGAGUGGCAGAGUGGUCGAAUGCACCGGUCUUGAAAACCGGCGUACGCGAAAGCGUACCGUGGGUUCGAAUCCCACCUCCUCCGCCA